Molecule: ribosomal RNA, 497 nt
Filed under: uncultured bacterium
Lineage: Bacteria
Description: partial 16S ribosomal RNA
Rfam family: Bacterial small subunit ribosomal RNA
Source: RNAcentral
GAUGAACGCUGGCGGCGUGCCUAAUACAUGCAAGUCGAGCGAACAGACGAGGAGCUUGCUCCUCUGACGUUAGCGGCGGACGGGUGAGUAACACGUGGAUAACCUACCUAUAAGACUGGGAUAACUUCGGGAAACCGGAGCUAAUACCGGAUAAUAUAUUGAACCGCAUGGUUCAAUAGUGAAAGACGGUUUUGCUGUCACUUAUAGAUGGAUCCGCGCCGCAUUAGCUAGUUGGUAAGGUAACGGCUUACCAAGGCGACGAUGCGUAGCCGACCUGAGAGGGUGAUCGGCCACACUGGAACUGAGACACGGUCCAGACUCCUACGGGAGGCAGCAGUAGGGAAUCUUCCGCAAUGGGCGAAAGCCUGACGGAGCAACGCCGCGUGAGUGAUGAAGGUCUUCGGAUCGUAAAACUCUGUUAUUAGGGAAGAACAAAUGUGGAAGUAGCUAUGCACGUCUUGACGGUACCUAAUCAGAAAGCCACGGCUAACUACGUG